This 477-nucleotide ribosomal RNA is filed under the name uncultured bacterium. RNAcentral's name for it is "bacterial SSU rRNA". It matches the Rfam family "Bacterial small subunit ribosomal RNA", at positions 30 to 507 of the family's 1533-position model. The record is from RNAcentral.
AUUGAACGCUGGCGGCAUGCCUUACACAUGCAAGUCGAAUGGUAACGCGGGGCAACCUGGCGACGAGUGGCGAACGGGUGAGUAAUAUAUCGGAACGUGCCCAGUAGUGGGGGAUAGCCCGGCGAAAGCCGGAUUAAUACCGCAUACGACCUACGGGUGAAAGGGGGGGAUCGCAAGACCUCUCGCUAUUGGAGCGGCCGAUAUCAGAUUAGGUUGUUGGUGGGGUAAAAGCCCACCAAGCCGACGAUCUGUAGCUGGUCUGAGGGGACGACCAGCCACACUGGGACUGAGACACGGCCCAGACUCCUACGGGAGGCAGCAGUGGGGAAUUUUGGACAAUGGGCGCAAGCCUGAUCCAGCCAUGCCGCGUGCGGGAAGAAGGGCCUUCGGGUUGUAACCGCUUUGUCAGGAGAAUCCUUUGAGUUAAUACCUCGGGGGAUGACGGUACCUGAAGAAUAAGCACCGGCUAACUACGUG